UCUGCAAUUACAGGAAGUACAGGAUUUACCAAACAAUACUCGAACAAACACAAACUGCAAUUUAGUAAAUUUGCAACUUGAUUUAUACAAUAUAUUUAUAAAUAACGGGCCACGUGUAAAAUGCCAUUAAAGGAGUGUUAUACCAAGCUUCAAUGAUUUCUAAAGGGGAAUAUACCAAGAUCAACACAGUUUAAACUGGAACGACAUAAGGCGUCCCAUGAAAACUGCAGAAUAAAAACGUGAACGAAGGGCUGUUAAUUCAUUUUACUAUCAGGUGUGCCCAAUAGAGCCACCGCAUAUAAGUUAGGCCUCAAAAAAGAGAACCAGAGAGCAGCAGCGGUGGUCAAGAAGAAGAAAAAGAAGAACCUGCAUACAUUGACCAAAAGGGGAGCCAAUACCGGAGACGAAGCCGAGGUUUGCAACUGAGAUUGGGAAGACGACAGCAGUACUCUAAGAGCGAGAGAGACUUGAGGGAAGAAGUUGAUAUUAUAACAAACUGAGCACCGGUGGAAAGCAUUUGUUUUGGAUUGUCAGAAAAUGAGUGGAACACCAAGUGCAUGCGAGUUAAGUAAACAGAAUUUAUAUUGCACUCGCUGUAUUAGAAAAAUUAGCUUACCCUGCUUGCUUGCUGCAUUUAUAUAUAGUAUAUGGACGCAUACAUUCCAGUUAUAUGGUGCUAAACUCAGCAUAGUAUCUUCUCUGCUUGCUGUACUGUAUUGCAUAAAACAAGAUAUCCUGCUUAACUUUACAUUAGACAAAGUCUAUUACUGCUGCAUUUUCCUAUAUAGAAGCAUAUGCUCUGAUCAUACUGUAUUAAAUACAGCAUAGUAAUUUUUGCUUGUCGCGUUUUUACUGUAAAGAAACUGAUCACUUCUAUUUGAGCAUCAAAAGAAACUUAUUUAUAUUGGAUAAAAUUCACUA
Long non-coding RNA from Polyodon spathula (Mississippi paddlefish), 921 nucleotides. RefSeq lists it as uncharacterized. The record is from RefSeq and is a predicted model, not a curated record. Lineage: Eukaryota; Metazoa; Chordata; Actinopteri; Acipenseriformes; Polyodontidae. The transcript has 3 exons.